Alligator mississippiensis (American alligator) is the source of this 1761-nucleotide long non-coding RNA. RefSeq lists it as uncharacterized. The record is from RefSeq and is a predicted model, not a curated record. The transcript is spliced from 2 exons. Lineage: Eukaryota; Metazoa; Chordata; Crocodylia; Alligatoridae.
CAGCUCCCCCCGCACAACGGCGGAGAGGUUGUUUAUGAGCGCUGGUCCUCGACACUCGUCCAGCUGCCUCCAGCUCAGGCUCGCCGAGUCUCUCACGGGUCCGGCUCUGGGGAGCUCCCCCGCUCUGGCCGGGGAGCCUGCUGUAACCCGCUUCCUCCCGGCCGUCGGAAGCGGAGCGGAUCACACACCCGUCACGAUCCUGUCCUGCCUCCAGAGACGGGAAGCGGCGUUUCUAGGGAAGGACGGCGCUCUGCUCUGCUCUGCUGCCGGAGCUGCCGCUUUCGCAGCGGCCAUAAGAUGCAGUAAAACAAUAGUCCCGGUAACUGCUCACCGUGCUCGGCUUCCAAGGAUUUCAUUUACAUUUGAAGCUCUCACACACUGAAUCCGACUCCAAGACAAGGCCCUUUAAGUGAGACCUUGUUUGUGCAGAGCUUUGGGCAAAGAGGCGCCACAACGAACAGGCGCUGUCCAUCGAGGUCACAGAGCAGGAUGACCCUACAGCAUAAAAGAUGAUCAGUCGCACACCUUCACGGCUUCAGUCACACAAUCAUCACCUGGGGCCAGACGCCAUGGAAGUGAAGAUCAUGACUCUUUUAAAGGAGUCAUUGAAACUGGAAGCAAGAUGCCCAUUUGGGACUCGGAUAUUGCUUUUCUUACCAACCAGUUGUGGGAGGGGGAUUCUACUAAAUGUCGGAAGAUGAAUCCUCCAAGAAGAGGGAAGAUGCAACAAAAAUAAGUAUUUUGGCUUCUCAAGACAGCCAGUAAAAUUACACCGCUUGCUGAUGAAUAUAUUAUUCCAGUGGCAUACUACAAGAUGUCUUGCGGACUGAACAGUUCAAAGCAUUUAACCGAGAACUUUCAAAAUAUCGCCUUACGCACGAGCUGGCAUUUAGGAACUUCUCCGUUCCAAUUCCUACUUCUAUGCAGUGUUUCUGCAAUCAACCACAUAACCUAUUCAGGCCUCACUUUCUCCUAUGUGAAACGGUUCUUUCCCAUGUCACAGGGGACUUGUGAAAACUGAUGGAUGUCUGCAAUGCAGUUGGAAUAUGAAAAGUGCUGGAUUAGAGCUAGGUCCUAUUGAACAUCUCAUAUUACAGAUGAAUAUGAUCCCCAGUUCCCAGAAGUAUGUAGAGGUGCUUCACAGAUCAAGUAAAAAGACUGCCUUCCUCUUGAACAGUUUGCAGUUUUGAUUCAGAUGUGCCAUAAACGGACAAAAUCAGACGAAAGGAGAAGGAAAGACAAAAAUACAACAGUACAAUCGUGCCAUAGUGACAUUCCUUACAUCAUAUGGCAAAUCACUGGCAGAUCCAGAAACAGACCCACAAAAAGCCUAGCCUUCUCUCCUCUAACCAUGAUCCUGACUUCCAGUCCUUCGGGAGGGUACAGCAAGCGUUCCCAGGGAGGACUGACUUGUUCUCCUGUUUUCUAAUUAACAGACCUCAGUAGUUCCCGCUGGAAAACUAAAGUUGUCCACAAGGCAGGCAUAGUCCUGCCUAUAGCAGGGAGAUGCCUUCUUCCACUACCACCAGACACCACCCAGUUUCCAUUCCACAAUGUAGAAGUAAUCAAACCCUGGAAGUGUUUUACCCAGGAUUCCUGAAAUGUAGCCCAAAAGGACAAUGCACAGGGCCCCUCGACUGCAUGCGAGCCUGCCUGACUUGCUAUCUGAUGUGUUAGGAUCAAAUUAGAUUCCAGAAAGAAGCUAUUACCUCCCCUCAUGUAAAUAUCCAUUCUUUCUUAAUAAAGUAUCUCAGGCAUUAA